This 221-nucleotide long non-coding RNA is filed under the name Elaeis guineensis (African oil palm). Its description in RNAcentral is "long non-coding RNA (EGUI_LNC002596)". The record is from RNAcentral. Lineage: Eukaryota; Viridiplantae; Streptophyta; Magnoliopsida; Arecales; Arecaceae.
GGUGAUGGGGAUCGUGCACCAUGCAAAACUCGAAAUUGGAACAUCUUCCAAGAACGGGAGUGAUGAAACGAGGUUGUUGCCCACUUCAUGAUUCAUAGAACAAUGUGGAUACAUGUGUUACAUUUUCAAGCAAUGAGACUUGGUUUACCGGACUAAAAAUAAAGAAUUGUAAUUAAUUAUUUUAUUGGGUAGAUACGCAUGAUAGAUGUGGCUGAGGGAAG